Molecule: unclassified non-coding RNA, 456 nt
Filed under: plant metagenome
Description: partial contains small subunit ribosomal RNA, internal transcribed spacer 1, and 5.8S ribosomal RNA
Source: RNAcentral
UUUCCGUAGGUGAACCUGCGGAAGGAUCAUUAGCAAAUUAUUGGGGGGAGGAGUGUGGGGGGAGUUGUGGAUGGGUGGGUGUUGGGAGAUUGAUAUUGGUAUUGGUAUUGAUAUUGGUAUUGAUAUUGAUAUUGGUAUUGGUAUUGAUAUUGGUAUUGAUAUUGAUAUUGGUAUUGAUAUUGAUAUUGGUAUUGAUAUUGGUAUUGAUUGCGUUAUGGCAGCGAUGCACUGAUGCAGUCAGUUCCUAGUCCUAGCAUCCAUUCAUACAUGGCUCCUCACUACGCUACCUAACCAUCCACAUUGACUCGGACUGGUUGCUUAGCUGCAAUGGGUAGUAUUUUAGAUUCUAUUACAGCACGCUAGUACCCAUGUCCUGAGCACAUUCACGAUUGUAGUGUUUGACCGAAUAUAUAGCCACUAGAAAGACAACUUUUAACAAUGGAUCUCUUGGCUCUU